Molecule: non-coding RNA, 72 nt
Organism: Ictidomys tridecemlineatus (thirteen-lined ground squirrel)
Lineage: Eukaryota; Metazoa; Chordata; Mammalia; Rodentia; Sciuridae
Source: Rfam
GGAGAUAAAGCUCAAUGGUAGAAUGCUUGCUUACCAUGCAUGAUGCCCUGGGUUCAAUUCUCAGUACCUCAA